AUUGAAUUUUAUAACAAUGGCUUUAGUGGCGGACUGGUGAGUAACGCGUAAGGAACCUACCUAUUAGAGGGGAACAACAGUUAGAAAUGACUGCUAAUACCGCAUAUGCCUAAGUACCACAUGGUACAAUAGGGAAAGAAGCAAUUCGCUGAUAGAUGGGCUUGCGUCUGAUUAGAUAGUUGGUGGGGCAACGGCCUACCAAGUCGACGAUCAGUAGCCGGACUGAGAGGUUGAACGGCCACAUUGGGACUGAGAUACGGCCCAGACUCC
Molecule: ribosomal RNA, 270 nt
Filed under: uncultured Oscillospiraceae bacterium
Lineage: Bacteria; Bacillati; Bacillota; Clostridia; Eubacteriales; Oscillospiraceae
Description: partial 16S ribosomal RNA
Rfam family: Bacterial small subunit ribosomal RNA
Source: RNAcentral